AGAGUUUGAUCAUGGCUCAGAACGAACGCUGGCGGCGUGCCUAACACAUGCAAGUCGCGCGAGAAAAGGGGGGCAACUCCCUGAGUAAAGCGGCGCACGGGUGAGUAACACGUAGGUAAUCUACCCUCGAGUCCAGGAUAACCUACCGAAAGGUGGGCUAAUACCGGAUAUGACCACGGGAGUUUCGGCUCCUGCGGUGAAAGGUGGCCUCUGCUUGCAAGCUACUGCUCGGAGAUGAGCCUGCGGGCCAUUAGCUAGUUGGUGAGGUAACGGCUCACCAAGGCGAUGAUGGCUAGCUGGUCUGAGAGGAUGGCCAGCCACACUGGGACUGAAACACGGCCCAGACUCCUACGGGAGGCAGCAGUGGGGGAUAUUGCGCAAUGGGCGAAAGCCUGACGCAGCGACGCCGCGUGGGUGAUGAAGGCCUUCGGGUCGUAAAGCCCUGUCGAGGGGAACGAAACGGUCUCGACCUAACACGUCGAGUCCCUGACGGUACCCCU
Molecule: ribosomal RNA, 500 nt
Filed under: uncultured bacterium
Lineage: Bacteria
Description: bacterial SSU rRNA
Rfam family: Bacterial small subunit ribosomal RNA
Source: RNAcentral